AACGAGCCUCAACUGCAGCUGCCCUCUCAUUAGACUCCUCAAGAAGUCUUCGGGUGUUGAACAACUCUGUCUCUACGGACUUGGCAUACUCCUCUGCAUCGGCUACCUUUCCGUCAGCCCUCUUUAAGGCCUCAUAAGCGGCAUACAGUUCCAUCUGGAGAGACGCAAUAUGUUCUCGAGCUGCCGCGAGGUUGCCCCGGGCAUCAACGGUUGCAGAUAGGUUCUCAUCUCGACGAGCUUCCUCAAUCCUACGGUCGACAGACUCUCGCAGAGAGAGGUCACGAGCAUCUGCCUCCAUGGAAAG
This 304-nucleotide long non-coding RNA is filed under the name Manihot esculenta (cassava). Its description in RNAcentral is "long non-coding RNA (MESC_LNC000470)". The record is from RNAcentral. Lineage: Eukaryota; Viridiplantae; Streptophyta; Magnoliopsida; Malpighiales; Euphorbiaceae.